Molecule: ribosomal RNA, 420 nt
Filed under: uncultured bacterium
Lineage: Bacteria
Description: bacterial SSU rRNA
Rfam family: Bacterial small subunit ribosomal RNA
Source: RNAcentral
GAAUAUUGGUCAAUGGGCGCAAGCCUGAACCAGCCAUGCCGCGUGCAGGAUGACGGUCCUAUGGAUUGUAAACUGCUUUUGUACAGGAAGAAACAGUUCUACGUGUAGAACCUUGACGGUACUGUAAGAAUAAGGAUCGGCUAACUCCGUGCCAGCAGCCGCGGUAAUACGGAGGAUCCAAGCGUUAUCCGGAAUCAUUGGGUUUAAAGGGUCCGUAGGCGGUUUAGUAAGUCAGUGGUGAAAGCCCAUCGCUCAACGGUGGAACGGCCAUUGAUACUGCUAAACUUGAAUUAUUGGGAAGUAACUAGAAUAUGUAGUGUAGCGGUGAAAUGCUUAGAGAUUACAUGGAAUACCAAUUGCGAAGGCAGGUUACUACCAAUAUAUUGACGCUGAUGGACGAAAGCGUGGGGAGCGAACAGG